AUUGAACGCUGGCGGCAUGCUAUACACAUGCAAGUCGGACGAGUUGCGAACGGUUGAGUAAUAUAUCGGAACGUACCGAGUAAUGGGGGAUAACUAAUCGAAAGAUUAGCUAAUACCUCAUAUUAUUCGAGCGGCCGAUAUCUGAUUAGCUAGUGGGGGGGGUAAAGGACUACCAAGGCGACGAUCAGUAGCGUGUCUGAGAGGAUGAUCCGGCACACUGGGACUUAGACACGGGCCAGAAUCCUACGUGAGGCAGCAGGGGGGAAUUUUGGACAAUGGGCGCAAGCCUGAUCCAGCCAUGCAGCGUGUCUGAAGAAGGCCUUCGGGUUGUAAAGGACUGUUGGCAGGGAAGCGGUACAGGAAGAAUAAGCACAGGCUAACUACGUGCCAGAAGCCGCGGUAAUUC
This 406-nucleotide ribosomal RNA is filed under the name uncultured bacterium. Its description in RNAcentral is "partial 16S ribosomal RNA". It matches the Rfam family "Bacterial small subunit ribosomal RNA", at positions 30 to 526 of the family's 1533-position model. The record is from RNAcentral.